RNAcentral lists this long non-coding RNA (517 nucleotides) under Olea europaea (common olive). Its description in RNAcentral is "long non-coding RNA (OEUR_LNC012780)". Lineage: Eukaryota; Viridiplantae; Streptophyta; Magnoliopsida; Lamiales; Oleaceae. The record is from RNAcentral.
AAAAUGAUUUAGUCCCGGUGCAAAGGACAUUGGAAUCAUGGACUCAAAUCUUCGUCAACAACAGCGCCACCUCUUCAGCCUCUAGCCCUGAUUUCUGGAAUAACACCAGUACUGGCAGCGACGAAGGUGGAUCAUCCAUCAAGCCAAAUUCAUGGCCUGAUCAGUGAUCAUUUCUAAAAAUUUUAGAAUUUUUCCUUGCUCCUUCUGGAUACAAAUUUCUUAAUUCUCUGAUUUUUAUUGUAUCCUCUCUUUGUGAUUUGAGCUCUAUUGGGUUUUCCGGUAUAUGAUUUUCGUUUCACCGUGAAAAUUUUGAAUAAAUUAUUUGUUUCCAUCUUUCUAUGGCAUGGACCUUUGAAGUAACGAGCACAAACUGGGAGCUUAUACUACCUUGUUUUGGAUCGACUUAUUAUUAUAUUUGUUUAUUUAAACUCAAAAGACAGAAUUAUUUUCUGCUUUUAUUUGUUUGUAUAUUAAUUAAUAAAUAGUCCAUUCAUUUUAUGGCUCCAUUAACCGAAAG